RNAcentral lists this transfer RNA (75 nucleotides) under Pseudomonas luteola. RNAcentral describes it as "tRNA-Gln". It matches the Rfam family "tRNA". Rfam says of the family: Transfer RNA (tRNA) molecules are approximately 80 nucleotides in length. Their secondary structure includes four short double-helical elements and three loops (D, anti-codon, and T loops). Further hydrogen bonds mediate the characteristic L-shaped molecular structure. tRNAs have two regions of fundamental functional importance: the anti-codon, which is responsible for specific mRNA codon recognition, and the 3' end, to which the tRNAs corresponding amino acid is attached (by aminoacyl-tRNA synthetases). tRNAs cope with the degeneracy of the genetic code in two manners: having more than one tRNA (with a specific anti-codon) for a particular amino acid; and 'wobble' base-pairing, i.e. permitting non-standard base-pairing at the 3rd anti-codon position. The record is from RNAcentral. Lineage: Bacteria; Pseudomonadati; Pseudomonadota; Gammaproteobacteria; Pseudomonadales; Pseudomonadaceae.
AGGGGCGUCGCCAAGCGGUAAGGCAGCAGGUUUUGAUCUUGCCAUGCGUUGGUUCGAAUCCAGCCGCCCCUGCCA